CAUGCAAGUCGCACGAGAACGCCCGGGCUUCGGCCGGGGCAAGUACAGUGGCGGACGGGUGCGUAACGCGUAGAUCACCUGCCCUCAGGCGCGGGACAAUCGCGGGAAACCGCGGCUAAUACCGCACGACGUCCGGAUCCCGCAUGGGAACCGGAUGAAACCUUGGGGUUACCCAGGGGCCUUUGGAUGGGUCUGCGUCGGAUUAGCUUGUUGGUGAGGUAACGGCUCACCAAGGUAACGAUCCGUAGCUGGUCUGAGAGGACGAUCAGUCACACUGGGACUGAGACACGGCCCAGACUCCUACGGGAGGCAGCAGUGGGGAAUCUUGCACAAUGGGGUCACCCCUGAUGCAGCCAUGCCGCGUGGAGGAAGACACCCCUAUGGGGCGUAAACUCCUUUUCUGAGAGAAGAACCCCCUGUAGGUUCAGGGUGUGACGGUAUCUCAGGAAUAAGCACCGGCUAACUCCGUGCCAGCAGCCGCGGUAAUACGGAGGGUGCAAGCGUUGUCCGGAAUCACUGGGCGUAAAGGGUGCGCAGGCGGGGCAGCAAGUCGGAGGUGAAAGCCCGUGGCUCAACCACGGAAGUGCCUUCGAAACUGUUGCUCUUGAGUCCCGGAGAGGUUGCCGGAAUUCGUGGUGUAGCGGUGAAAUGCGUAGAUAUCACGAGGAACACCAGAGGCGAAAGCGGGCAACUGGACGGGUACUGACGCUCAGGCACGAAAGCGCGGGGAGCAAACAGGAUUAGAUACCCUGGUAGUCCGCGCCGUAAACGAUGAAUGCUCGCCGUUAUUCCGCUUAAGGAAUAGUGGCUAAGCUAACGCGUUAAGCAU
This 829-nucleotide ribosomal RNA is filed under the name uncultured Salinibacter sp. RNAcentral describes it as "bacterial SSU rRNA". It matches the Rfam family "Bacterial small subunit ribosomal RNA", at positions 54 to 867 of the family's 1533-position model. Lineage: Bacteria; Pseudomonadati; Rhodothermota; Rhodothermia; Rhodothermales; Salinibacteraceae. The record is from RNAcentral.